Molecule: long non-coding RNA, 330 nt
Filed under: Salmo salar (Atlantic salmon)
Lineage: Eukaryota; Metazoa; Chordata; Actinopteri; Salmoniformes; Salmonidae
Description: lncRNA (ENSSSAG00000106379.1)
Source: RNAcentral
GUGGACAUUCUCUCUUUCUCCCCUGACCCAUCUGUCUAUCUCCUCAUUUGAAUUCCAUGCUGUCACAGUUACCAGCCCUUUCAAGCUUAACAUCCUUAUCAUUUAUCGCCCUCCGGGUUCCCUUGGAGAGUUCAUCAAUGAGCUUGACGCCUUGAUAAGUUCCUUUCCUGAGGAUGGCUCACCUCUCACAGUUCUGGACCAUUUCCGGAGACCUUCUCCCCUACCUCACCUCGCUCAUCAACGCAUCCUUGACCGCUGGCUACGUCCCUUCCGUCUUCAAGAGCGCGAGAGUUGCACCCCUUCUGAAAAUACCUACACUCGAUCCCUCCG